GUAGUAAUAAGAUCAUUUCUAAGGUUUUUUUCCUGGUCUAUGAUUUCAUGAGUCUAUAAAAUGUGUACCUGGAGGACGUAAGGAAGGAAAUGUAACAUUGAUUUUGCAGUUUAAACUGUCUCUGUUUUUUUUUAAUGUACAAUAUGAAAAACUCAAAUAAUAAUUAAGAGGACUAUAAUUAUCCAUAAUUAAAAUUAUAGUAUUUUAACAGUUUUUGAGGUGUUUUCUUUUAAAAUCUAUCCAUGUGCAUAGUUAUUUCCACAAAUGUGCACCCAUAAUUCUGGUUCCUUCUGGUUAUUUUUCAGUGACUUUUGCUCUCAGGAGAUAAAUUUAAGGAAAUAAGUGUGCUUUCCUGGAUUCUGCUAGUUUUUAAUCCUGGAAACCACUGGCAGCUGUGGUGGGUAGGAACCGCAUGUUAAAAAUGUCCAAAGCCGCAAAGGCUUCUUUGAAAACUGAUUUUGUGAUUUGUGGGCAUUUCCUAAACUGUAUUGUUCUA
This 496-nucleotide long non-coding RNA is filed under the name Bos taurus (domestic cattle). Its description in RNAcentral is "long non-coding RNA NONBTAT004986". The record is from RNAcentral. Lineage: Eukaryota; Metazoa; Chordata; Mammalia; Artiodactyla; Bovidae.